UACGAAGGGGGCUAGCGUUGUUCGGAGUUACUGGGCGUAAAGGGCGCGUAGGCGGCGCACCAAGUCAGGCGUGAAAGCCCUGGGCUCAACCCGGGAAUUGCGCUUGAGACUGGUGUGCUCGAGUACGGGAGAGGAUGGUGGAAUUCCCAGUGUAGAGGUGAAAUUCGUAGAUAUUGGGAAGAACACCGGUGGCGAAGGCGGCCAUCUGGACCGUAACUGACGCUGAGGCGCGAAAGCGUGGGGAGCAAACAGG
Molecule: ribosomal RNA, 253 nt
Filed under: uncultured bacterium
Lineage: Bacteria
Description: partial 16S ribosomal RNA
Rfam family: Bacterial small subunit ribosomal RNA
Source: RNAcentral